RNA transcript from Centropristis striata (black sea bass), 3713 nucleotides. It is a transcript of the gene named chromosome 13 C17orf75 homolog, with no coding region annotated. Lineage: Eukaryota; Metazoa; Chordata; Actinopteri; Perciformes; Serranidae. The record is from RefSeq and is a predicted model, not a curated record. The transcript is spliced from 11 exons.
CAGCGCAUGCGCACAAGGAACAUAAACAAUCCGGGAUCUGAUACCUGUGACGCUGCUGCAGGUGUUUCAUACGCGCUGUAGUCAUUUUAAUAGCUGUCGGGGAUCAAUAACGCAUUAUAAUAACUGUCUAAUAACAAAGUUAAAGCUAAACAACAGAGAACCGUCCCUGUUUUGCGCCUUGUGUCUUGUUUUCUCCGGCUGCUAGCUCGCUCCGUGCAGCAGGAGCACCAUGUUCACCUCCCAGACCUCCUCCUCCUCCUUCCAGGACUCCAUAGACGUGGAGGAGAGAGAUGACUUUGACAGUGAGGAGAUCUCUGGAUACAGCAACAAGGUCCAGCUCAACAGCUACUACACCAUCUACCUGUAUCAGGGCACAAGAUCUGAGGCUUCUGGGGAAAAUGUGUCUUGGAACCAGCGACGAGCCGACUCCACAACCAGUCAGGAAGACUUUAGCCUGACGCUGGUCGACAGCAGCCUGCCGUCGGAGGCUGAACCUGAGCUGAGGACCUACAUCUCCAGGAGGCUGAGCAAAGGGGCCCUGCUGGGGGGCAUGGGCAACAUCGCCACCGUGGAGCUCAGUAUCCCGGAGCAGGCGGUGGGCUGCUACUGCUGCCUCCUGGAGCAGGAACGCUCUCCGGACCAGCCUGAAGCCGAUGGCAACGGAUACGUCAUCUGCUUCAUGGGCGGCUCUGAGAAAGGACUCAACCUAUUUAGAUUAGAGCUGGAUAAAUAUGUCCAAGGCCUGCAUAGCAGUCUGCAAACCCCAGAGCUGCAGAACCUGGAGACGGAGGUGCGUCCGUACCUGAGCCGCUGGUUCGAGGAGUCAGUGAUGCACAUCUACCGCGUGGUGCAGCUGGUGCAGAGCAACAUCAGCUACCUGCUGCAUGCUGCUCUGAGUCACACUCAUGUGGAGGUCAGUAACUCAGAUGAGAAGACGAAGGCCGACGUGUCCAGGUUCAUCAAAGCAGCCAGUUUACAGGGUUUGUCCCAGCAAGAGAGCACCACAGCGUCUCUGUGUAAGGCGAUCUCAGAGGACACCCAGUCUGACCUGCUCAUAGACUGCUCCACCAGCCCGCCCACGCUCUCCAACACCGUGGGAAACCGUUUCUGUGACGACUGGAUCCAGGCUUUCCUGAACGCUGCAGAUCGUUGUAACCCUUUCCUGCUCAGACAGAUUCUGGAGAACUUCAAACUAAAGGCGAUCCAGGACAUGAACAGCCUGAAGCGAUUCGUGCGCCAGGCGGAGAUGAGUCACUACGCCUUGUUCCGCUGCUGCCAGUUCCUGCAGGGUUGCGGCAACGGGGACGUGUUGCUGCAGAACGCCAGGGCGGAGCACAGCGACCUGCCCGAGGCCUGCAGCAUCAUCACCGUCCUGGAGGAGUUCCUCAGGGAGCAGUCCCAGGCCCAGGCCUGAUCCAACAACUACCGCCGGUAUGAGAGUUGGUUCGCUCUUCCAGCCACGAAGCAGAAAACAUGUAAUAUUCUGAAUUUAGCACUACAUCCAUGUGUUAAAUAUCUGUUUGCAUUUUGAAUCUGCCGGCUGUUCUGGCAAAUUCAGAAUUUAAAUCAAAGUUUAAAAAAACUGAUCUGGAAUAUGUACAGGUGCAUCUCAAUGAAUUAGAAUAUGAUAGAGAAGUUUGUUUAUGUCAGUUAUUCAGUUCAAAAAGGUGAAAGAAGACAUUAUAUAGAUCCAUUACACACAGAAUGAAACAUUUCAUGUCUUAAUUUAUUUAACCCUUUAUCAGGCGAAGAACUAUAUUUGGUAACUUCAGUGGAUAUCAAAAUGGGGUCGAGAAAAAAGUUGCAAAUUUACUAGAUUAAAGUGGCAAAUCUACAAGAAAAAAAGUCGCAGAUUUACGAGAUUUAAAGUGGGUAAUCUGCGCGAAAAAGUCGCAGAUUUACGAGAUUUAAAGUGGUGAAUCUGUGCUAAAAAAGUCACAGAUUUAAGAGAUUUAAAGUGGCAAAUCUGCGCGAAAAAGUCGCAGAUUUACGAGAUUUAAAAUGGCAAAUCUACAAGAAAAAAAGGCACAGAUUUAAGAGGUUUAAAGUGGCAAAUCUACGCAAAAAAGUCGCAGAUUUACAAGAUUUAAAGUGGUGAAUCUGCGCUAAAAAAGUCGCAGAUUUACGAGAUUUAAAAUGGCAAAUCUACAAGAAAAAAAGUCGCAGAUUUAAGAGAUUUAAAGUGGCAAAAUUGUGCGAAAAAAGUCGCAGAUUUACGAGAUUUAAAGUUGCAAAUCUGCGCGAAAAAGUCGCAGAUUUACACGAUUUAAAAUGGCAAAUCUACGCAAAAAAGUCGCAGAUUUACAAGAUUUAAAGUGGUGAAUCUACGCGAAAAAAGUUGCAGAUUUAAGAGAUUUAAAAUGGCAAAUCUACAAGAAAAAAAGUCGCAGAUUUAAGAGAUUUAAAGUGGCAAAUCUGCGAGAAAAUAGGUUGCUUUUUUUCCCCACUUCUUUCUCUUAAAUCUGACUUUUUUUCUUGUAGAUCUGCCACUUUAAUCUAGUAAAUUUGCAACUUGUUUCUCUAAAUGUUUUUAUUUUUUAUUUUGGAAAUCCGCUGAAGUUACCAAAUACGGUUCUUCGCCUGAUAAAGGGUUAAUUUCUUCUAAUUAUAAUUAUAAUAAUUUAUUUCUUACAUUUAAUGAAGACCUAAAAUUCAGUGUCUCAAAAAAAUAUAUAUAUAUUACAAAAGACCAAUUUUAAAAAGUCUGUUUAAUAUGUAAAUGUUUCCUCUGAAAAGUUUGUCCAUCUAUAUGACUCAAUACUUGGUUGGGGCUGUUGGACUUGAACUACUGGAAAUGGACUUUUACAUCAUAUUCUGAUUUAUUGAGAUGAUACUUUGAAACACACUGACUAAGUUUACAUGCACACUAAUAUUUCACUAUAAUUCUGAUUAUUUGGGCCAUUCAAACUGCAUUUGGAGCCGUUUUCCAAUGAAAACAUGUAAGAUGUGCCGACAUUAUUCCAGUUUUAGGUGCAUUUAUUUAACGUGUGUACAGCACAUUCAGGAAAUACAUCUCUAGUGGAGGUUCUACUGCAGUUUGCGACACAUUUAUGGUCAGCUCUGUGCAUUGCUAUGGUUUUAGUACACAAACCAACUAGCCAUCAGUUUGAAUGGCCAUGGUAGCCCCAAAAAGAAAAGCCCACAUUUCUGAUCUGCAGUAGAAACAGAAACCUUUCAUAGUUUCAUAGUACGAUUUAACCCUUUGAUGCUCAACAUAUUUUAACCUCUUCUAAUGCACAACAUGGUCUAAAAUUACCCUCAUUGAUUCCCUUCAUGUUAUUUAAUGCAGCUGUGUGUUUCUGUGCUCUAUCUUUUGAUAUCAACUUAUUUUAUGAUUGAAUAUUCCAAGUAUUCCUUAAAUAUCUUGUUUUUGAUAACAACAGAUCAUUAUUUCCAUUUUACCUCUCAUACUUUAUGAAGAAAAAAAGUUUUUGUUUUAUUACAUAGCUAACUACUUGGCUAAGUAGCUUGCUAAGCUAACUACUUAGCCAAGAAGUUAGCUAAGUAGUUAGCUUAGCAUGCUACUUAGCUAAAAAAAUGGAUAUGGGUCAUUUUUGACCCAUGUUGUGCAUUAGAAGAGUAGUGACACAAAAAGAGAUUUUAUUAAAAAAUGAAUAAAGGAAAACAUAAAAUCAGGAUGUAUGAUGAUCAAAAACAAACUAAUUGAGGAAAACCUGGAAUACUGAAUGAUUCCAAGUAUUGUUUAAAUAUCU